AGUGAACGCUGGCGGCAGGCCUAAUACAUGCAAGUCGAACGGCAGCACAGCAGAGCUUGCUCUGUGGGUGGCGAGUGGCGGACGGGUGAGGAAUACGUGGGAAUCUGCCCAGUCGUGGGGGAUAACGUAGGGAAACUUACGCUAAUACCGCAUGCGCCCUUUGGGGGAAAGCCGGGGAUCUUCGGACCUGGCGCGAUUGGAUGAGCCCACGUCGGAUUAGCUAGUUGGAGGGGUAAAGGCCCACCAAGGCGACGAUCCGUAGCUGGUCUGAGAGGAUGAUCAGCCACACUGGAACUGAGACACGGUCCAGACUCCUACGGGAGGCAGCAGUAGGGAAUAUUGGACAAUGGGCGCAAGCCUGAUCCAGCCAUGCCGCGUGAGUGAAGAAGGCCCUCGGGUUGUAAAGCUCUUUUGUUGGGGAAGAAAAGCCUUGGGUUAAUACCCUGAGGUUCUGACGGUACCCAAAGAAUAAGCACCGGCUAACUUCGUGCCAGCCGCCGCCGUAA
Molecule: ribosomal RNA, 506 nt
Filed under: uncultured bacterium
Lineage: Bacteria
Description: partial 16S ribosomal RNA
Rfam family: Bacterial small subunit ribosomal RNA
Source: RNAcentral